AGGCAACCUGCCCUCAAGCUUGGGACAACUACCGGAAACGGUAGCUAAUACCGAAUACUUGCUUCCUUCGCCUGAAGGGAGCUGGAAAGACGGAGCAAUCUGUCACUUGAGGAUGGGCCUGCGGCGCAUUAGCUAGUUGGUGAGGUAACGGCUCACCAAGGCGACGAUGCGUAGCCGACCUGAGAGGGUGAUCGGCCACACUGGGACUGAGACACGGCCCAGACUCCUACGGGAGGCAGCAGUAGGGAAUCUUCCGCAAUGGGCGAAAGCCUGACGGAGCAAUGCCGCGUGAGUGAUGAAGGUUUUCGGAUCGUAAAGCUCUGUUGCCAGGGAAGAACGCUCAGGAGAGUAACUGCUCCUGAGGUGACGGUACCUGAGAAGAAAGCCCCGGCUAACUACGUGCCAGCAGCCGCGGUAAUACGUAGGGGGCAAGCGUUGUCCGGAAUUAUUGGGCGUAAAGCGCGCGCAGGCGGUCAUUUAAGUCUGGUGUUUAAUCCCGGGGCUCAACCCCGGAUCGCACUGGAAACUGGGUGACUUGAGUGCAGAAGAGGAGAGUGGAAUUCCACGU
Molecule: ribosomal RNA, 568 nt
Filed under: uncultured bacterium
Lineage: Bacteria
Description: bacterial SSU rRNA
Rfam family: Bacterial small subunit ribosomal RNA
Source: RNAcentral